RNAcentral lists this ribosomal RNA (397 nucleotides) under uncultured bacterium. Its description in RNAcentral is "bacterial SSU rRNA". It matches the Rfam family "Bacterial small subunit ribosomal RNA", at positions 28 to 428 of the family's 1533-position model. The record is from RNAcentral.
GACGAACGCUGGCGGCGUGCUUAGCACAUGCAAGUCGAGCGGUAAGGCCCUUUCGGGGGUACACGAGCGGCGAACGGGUGAGUAACACGUGGGUGACCUGCCCUCAGCUCUGGGAUAAGCCUGGGAAACCGGGUCUAAUACCGGAUAUGACUCCAUGACGCAUGUUGUGGGGUGGAAAGCCUUGUGCGGCUGAGGAUGGGCCCGCGGCCUAUCAGCUUGUUGGUGGGGUGANGGCCUACCAAGGCGACGACGGGUAGCCGGCCUGAGAGGGCGACCGGCCACACUGGGACUGAGACACGGCCCAGACUCCUACGGGAGGCAGCAGUGGGGAAUCUUGCGCAAUGGGCGAAAGCCUGACGCAGCGACGCCGCGUGAGGGAUGACGGCCUCGGUUGUAA